This 429-nucleotide ribosomal RNA is filed under the name Bacillota bacterium. RNAcentral describes it as "Firmicutes bacterium partial 16S ribosomal RNA". It matches the Rfam family "Bacterial small subunit ribosomal RNA", at positions 355 to 776 of the family's 1533-position model. Lineage: Bacteria; Bacillati; Bacillota. The record is from RNAcentral.
UAGGGAAUCUUCGGCAAUGGACGGAAGUCUGACCGAGCAACGCCGCGUGAGUGAAGAAGGUUUUCGGAUCGUAAAGCUCUGUUGUUAGAGAAGAACGUUGGUAGGAGUGGAAAAUCUACCAAGUGACGGUAACUAACCAGAAAGGAACGGCUAACUACGUGCCAGCAGCCGCGGUAAUACGGAGGUCCCGAGCGUUGUCCGGAUUUAUUGGGCGUAAAGCGAGCGCAGGCGGUUCUGUAAGUCUGAAGUUAAAGGCAGUGGCUUAACCAUUGUAAGCUUUGGAAACUGGAGGAGUUGAGUGCAGAAGGGGAGAGUGGAAUUCCAUGUGUAGCGGUGAAAGGCGUAGAUAUAUGGAGGAACACCGGUGGCGAAAGCGGCUCUCUGGGCUGUAACUGACGCUGAGGCUCGAAAGCGUGGGGAGCAAACAGG